UACGUAGGUGGCAAGCGUUGUCCGGAUUUAUUGGGUUUAAAGGGUGCGUAGGCGGCUUUGUAAGUCAGUGGUGAAAUAUGGCAGCUCAACUGUCAGGGUGCCAUUGAUACUGCGGAGCUUGAGUACAGAUGAGGUAGGCGGAAUUGACGGUGUAGCGGUGAAAUGCUUAGAUAUCGUCAAGAACACCGAUAGCGAAGGCAGCUUACUAGGCUGUAACUGACGCUGAGGCGCGAAAGCUAGGGGAGCAAACGGG
RNAcentral lists this ribosomal RNA (253 nucleotides) under uncultured bacterium. Its description in RNAcentral is "partial 16S ribosomal RNA". It matches the Rfam family "Bacterial small subunit ribosomal RNA", at positions 524 to 776 of the family's 1533-position model. The record is from RNAcentral.